Xyrichtys novacula (pearly razorfish) is the source of this 14156-nucleotide non-coding RNA. NCBI's taxonomy places the organism in Eukaryota, Metazoa, Chordata, Actinopteri, Labriformes, Labridae. The record is from the annotation of a GenBank genome assembly.
UAUUUAGUUUUAAUUUGUUGCGUCUUUGUAAUGUAGAGCAGACUGGAGAGUCUGACAGAGGCUGAACAAAAAUAAUUAUUAACCUCACCAAACGGUGUGUUGCUGCCCCUGAGGCACAUUUUUAUGGAUUUCUAUUGGAUUUUUAUCACUGAUUAAACAGCAAGAGCACUUUCUAAACUUAUACUUUACAUGUCAGAAUCCAUCGAUAAGGUCCUAUCUCCUCUGUGCAGCACCAUUGUGGAGUCUCUCCUCGUUAUUGUUCUCUGGGCAUCGGGUCUUCACUUUGCACCGGCAUAGCCAACAGCACUCCAUUCGCCAGUGCAACGUUGUGUAAAACUGUACUGGCCCAAAUGAUGUCCCACACCCUUUCAGGAAUGUACAACAAUAUGCCCACUGCUGGCUCAAGACAGAGACACCUGCCUUCUAGGAGUCAAACGCAGCGCUCCACAGUGGCGCGUGUGCGUGUGUGCGCAAUGUUAAAACAGCGCUCCUGCUCUGUAGCACUGUUUCUGGGCAGAGUUAUCAAAUAGGCCUAUUCACUAAGGUCAUAACAAAUUUAUUUUAUUUUAUUUACGUCUUAAUCUUUAAUAAAAUUUGGCUGAUUGUGCGUAAUGACAGGUUUGAGGUUUGUUUAUCAAUGAUUUUGAGACAGACAUUUGCUGCACGGCAGAUCCACACUGACUCAAACUUGUGUACGCGAUGUCAGACCUGUCGUGAGAUUUUGUCGUAGCGUACGCUCACGUGCAGAUUGUGAAAUGCCGAUCCUCACGCCAAAAUUGUCUUACGCAAGGUGUAUGCAAGUUUUCUGCCAUACGCAAGCUUGAUAAACGAGGGCCACUGUGAGUUAUAAUGACCUUUGUUACCUUUUCUCUUGUUUGUGUCUGUAAACAAGUCCUUUUGUGUUUGUUCUAGUCUGGUAUGGAGAAUUUAAAGUGUAUUAUACUUGUGCUUUAAGUCUCGCUCCUCUCUCCCUCUCUCUCACUAUCUCUCUCUCUCUCUGAUCCUGAUCAGACUGAGGACGACAUUACACUUAAACUCACACAGAUCAAUACAUACCAGGGAAUAGAACAGAAUAUAAUAGACUAUCUUUACUCUCAUUGUACAUGUACAACGAAAUUGAGUGCAACGCUUCUUAGUGCAGAUAUGAAAACAAAAACACUACAAUCUCAAGUGUAAAAACAGUGUAUAAAAAUGUAUGCAUAUCACAUUAAAAAACACACACGCAGGACAUGUCCAGUUCUCGUAAAGUUUAUUACUUGCAGUUAAGUGCUGUCAUUACUUUCGGGUACAGUUUUUAAGCAGUUGGUCCUUUUUUUUAAUUGCCCUUUAUCUUCUGCCCGAAGGCAGCAGUUCAAAUAGGUGGUAGUGGUGGGCAAAACCGUUCAUUUCAGUGAACCGGAUCAUUCCGGGUCGUUCAGUAAAAAGACUUGUCAUUUCGGUCAAUCGGUCAUUAGUCAGUCCGCUCGUUCAUGUUGUUCACGUUCGUUCAGAUGCUGAGCGAACGGACCAACGCUGCGAUCGCGCUGCACUCCUUGUAAUAUAAAAUUAUAGUAGGAAUAACAAAAUAUAUAAGGUUUUUAAUGGUUUUUAUUAUUUUGAGGUGCAUUAAAAACAAUAAUAAAAAGUACAAAAUGUCAACAGACAGUGCAAAUGCAUAUUAAUAGUUCUCUCUCUGCCUCUGGCUGCAGCAGCAGCUGUGUGCCUUUGUGUGUGUGUGACUGUCCCACUCGCUCAGGCUCGGCUGUCGGCUCGUGCGGCGGCCAGUCAACUCGGUCUUUCAGUCAACUUGUUCAUCGGUCUGGAUCUUUCGUUCACUCGGUCUUUCAGUCAACUCGUUCACCGUCUGGAUCUUUCGUUUACUCGGUCUUUCAGCCAACUCGUUCACCGUCUGGAUCUUUCGUUCACUCGGUCUUUCAGUCAACUCGUUCACCGUCUGGAUCUUUCGUUUACUCGGUCUUUCAGUCAACUCGUUCAUCCGUCUGGGUCUUUCGUUCAACUCGGUCUUUCGUUCAUUUAACCCGUUCUUUCAGUCAACUCGGUCAUGCCAGUCUUUCAGUCAGCUCAGUAGUACUGCUGCUGCUUCUCUAAGCCCCACCCACACACAGAACGAGGCGCGACGAUAGGAUAAGACAGGCAAGCACGGAGAUAGUCCCUCUUCAGCCAAUCAAAGGAACUGAACGGACUGAACGGGUCAUUUAGGGGGGGAGAACUAGUUCAUUUCGUUCACCAAAAAGAACUAGUUCUUUUGAUCCGUUCAUUCAAGACUGACACACCACUAAUAGGUGGUGACCGGGUUGUGAGGGGUCUCUGAGGAUGUUGUGGGCUGUACAGCUCAUUCAGGGAGGGGAGAGGGCAGCUGAUGAUGUUCUGGGCUGGGAUGACGACCUUCUGCUUUAUUGUAUUUAUAUAAAUAUGCUAGUAUCAUGGCAAAGGUGUGAUCCCUAUGAAAAUACAUAAUCUGACUCUAAAGGCAACAUUUCCCUCUCUCUCCUUUUUACCUGCUCCUCUCUGAUAGCGAUGGAGCUCUUUUGUUUAUGGAACCAGGAGUGCUGAACUACGCCACAAGGUAUGUUAGAGUGCCACUAUUGUUUGACAGUUAAAAUGCAGCAUGAUAGACUCUGGGCUCUAUUUUCGUGUACGCCGGUGAGGCAGCGGAGGGUGGCGGACCCCGUGCAGUUGUAUUUUCGUUUGGCACAGCCCGGCGUACAGCCAGUUUGGUAUUUUCGUGGACUGAGGCACACGGAGGCGAACCGAGAUCCGCCAAGCUGGGCGUGGUGGCGUGGCAGGGGGAGGUGUCGACAGAAUCAGCAGGCGCAGUGACAUUUUCGUGCUCGCCAGUGCCAUGUAAAGUGCGCUGAAAGCUCGCCGAUUCAAACCUGGUCAGCUUUCAGCGCAGGCGGAGUGCAGCUGGUCUAGAGGUAUUUUGGUAGACCAGCGGCGUAUCGGCAUACAUCACCGAUGCCUCAUCGGCAGGUUUCCACAGUGUCAGGCACAUUUCAGUGCAAUAAAUAUUCAUCAACAACUAUUAAUCUGAGUCAGCACAUACAUUUAGAUCUAUAUAGAUAUAUUCUGAUCUAUAUCUGAUCUGAUGAGCGCGUUUGGUACGGGUUUGGACAAACAACCUGACCGAAUCAACACAGCUGAAACUGCGUUAAAUUAAAUUAAAUAUCUAGUGAAUAGACACACAUGAUGAAGUUAACUACACAUGUAAUUCGUCUCCCUCCUUUUCUUUCUUCCUCUUAUUUCUCGCGCAGCUCGACCUGGACAUGUCUCCGUGUCCUCUCUCCGUCCUGCUGCAGCUGCGGCUGAACAGGGGCCUCAUGUAUCAACACUUGCGUCGGACUCAUACGAGAAACAAGCGCACGCAAGGUCCGUCACGCUGAAAAAAAUCUGUAUGUAUCAAGGUGUGCGGGCGCCGAAAGCCACGUGUGUUUCCUUGAUAAAUCCCAAUCAGCGUGGAAUUGAGCGCAGAAGUCGGAGUGACCGGGCCCGCCCCCGUUACGCCCUCCUAUAAAUAUGCAGAUUUAUUUAGAUAGGGUCUCCCUGUCCUCGCACGCAGACAAAAUGACAAGAAAAACUAAAUCUACGGCGUGCGAGGUGGAGGUGCUGGUGGCGGAGGUGGAGGAGCGACAGCGUGUUUUGUUUGGCAGCCUGUCCAGUGGCGUCAGUGCAAAACGAAAACGCUUGGAGUGGGAGAAAGUUUGCGAGAGGGUGAACGCGGUGGGUUCCGAGACACGCACCCCCGCGGUGAUUAAAAAAAAGUGGUUGGACCUCAAGGUGGAGGUCAAGCGGCGUACAGCUGCCCUCCGGAGGAGUACCGGCCAGACAGAUGGGGUUCCGCGGGAGGAGACCCUCACGCCGUUUGAGCAGCGGGUGGUGGCGAUUAUUAUUAUAGGGUAAGUGGCGUGUCACACAAAUGUCCACAUGCUUUGCCAUCCCACUGAGCAAAGGACGUAUAUUAGACGUCUAGUCUAAGUUUAUAUUCAUUUCAACAUCGGGAUUCAGUCUAUUUUUAGACGUGAUUUAUACUUCGCCCUUAACUUCAUUUUUCGAUAACUUUUUAUGCAAUAAACAACUGUAAUGUGCAUAACUGACCUCUAAAUACUGGAUUACAUUACCUAUGAUACCGUGGAGAGAGAUGUAAACGCUACAGAUACACAAGAGCAGGAAUUGAAAUGAACCAAUAUUUUUAUUGUGUCACAGAAAUCAAUGUGUCGGCCGUGUCGCCGGCUUGCGGAACCCCGGCCCGCGGCAGCCCAUCAGCCGGCUCGGAGUCGUCGGCCAGGACCAGCGGCAUUCGGGCCACCCCGGUCCCCAGCCCCAGCACCAGCAUCAGCAUCAGCAUCAGCACCAGCACGCCGACAAGCGGUGGAGCGUCCACCAGCCGCGGCGCUUCCGCUGGACCACCCGGACGCAGUGGAAGGGUCCUCACGGAGGCGGUCCUGCAAUCGCAGGAAGAAAUCAUCAGGGGGAUCGCGGGAUCAACGAGCGGCUGGACCGGCUCGUAAAUGUCCUCGAGCGUCUGGUGGCGAAAAUAAAUUAAUUUGGCUCAUUGAACUGUGUAUUCACUUCUUACCCAUUCACACUGUGGCGAUGAGAUUCUCCCGCACGAGGACGGCGGCCCGGCAGGGAUCAGCUCGCAUCCCUCCGUCUGCUGCUGGUUCGUCAUGUGGGGCGACGUGCUGCUUGGCCACGGGGAUGUGGUGCACGCUUUUCACAUAGUGAGUCACCAAACACCGCCACACAGCGUCGCCAAAGUGCCGUUAACACAAGCUCAACGCCAACUUCUACACCACCUCCUCACUUUGCGUUGAUUAGCGCUGGAACCGACACUCGUGUCGCGAUGAUAUAUCUGGACGUGUGCGCCGAUCUUGGCGGACGCAAGGUUUUCUGGCGCCGCCAGCGUUGAUACAUGAGGCCCCAGAUGAUUUGUUUCAGCGCUCAGAUGAGUUAUCUACUUUAAGCCGACAUACGGAUAUUAUAAUAUUCAGUUUUGUCAAAUUUAUUUUAUACGCCAACAUCUGUGAAAGAAAGAGACAGGCCACGGAGCGCGAUGCGUCAUUUACGCACAGAUGGUUCCGAUUUUAAUGCCAUUUUUGGAGUUUAUGUUGUGAUCUGUGCGCUCAACCCACCUUUGUCACGUGAGGUUUGAAUAUAUGCAACUUUAUGUGAGUGUCUUUAUCUGUGGAAAAGGGUGCUUGUCUUACUAGUGGGUCCAAACUUACACACACCAAAUCCCUCUGUGCUCAUAUGAGAGAGUGUGGAGGACGCCCAAUGCAGCGCUUACAGUGACACUUGUUGAGAAGCUGUCUUCUGUCGCCAUCGUGUGGCAUUACUGUCUUCAGACAUCUCUUGAUCUCUUUGAUACUUCACGAAAAUAGUAAUACGCCUCGCCUGUGGCGGAUUUAAAGGCGAGGAGAGGAGCUGAUGUUAUUGGUAAAUACAGGUCUCAGCUGUGUUAAACCCACUCCACGCCCUCUCUCCUCCCUCGCAACGACUUACGCCGCUGGGAGGAGCUGAGUUAGGGAGGGGGGAUACUUAUGCCGGGCUGCGCCGCUCACCAAAAUACCAAAUUGUGCUUGGGAAUGCCUUGUCGGCGUGGCGUACCUGACUUACGCCGCGCCGACAAGGCACGUCUCCAGCGAGGCACGAAAAUAGAGCCCUCUGUCUUCAAUGGAGGGGAAAAGGUUAAAACGACAUUUUAGUGUCAGUGAGAGGCUCUCAUUGUGGGCCCUUCCAGUGCAAAAUAUGUUGUCAGUGGACACAGGCCCUAAUCGUAAUAAAGGUUACCUGGUUUGAUCAGCACUGGGUUGCACCAGCUGUGUGUAAAUGCAAACUUGGCCAAGUUUGAAUGUAAUUACUGACUUUAUUUUAGGGUUGCACCAGCUGAGAUCGCUCCAACAUAAACAGAAGCUGGCUCUGAGUCAAGUCGUCCAUAAAUACAAGCUGUUAUGGAGCGUCAUUUUAAAAGAUGAGAUAACGUUGAAGAGGAUGAGGAGUAGAUGGUUGGACUUGCUGUUUUGUGCAUGUAUUAUGUUUUCUGCGAUAGAUUACAGUAAUUUAAAAUCUAUGAACAUAGAUCUGCACUCCUGCUUCAUUUCCCACGAGCAGGGAUCUGUAUUAAGUACAGCUACGUUGAAUAAAUAUAUUACAGCUGGUUGAACAGGCACAGGACUCUCAAAAGAAACAGAUGAGUCCCCAGCUUUGAGUAAGACCUGUCCAUGAAAGGCCAUCAAAUAACCCUGAUUAUGACAUAAAUAGUUUAAAUAGAAAUAAAGGCAGGAAAUUACGCGGUGAAAUUUGGUGAGCCCUCUUUCUCUUUGCAUUUUAGAGUUUGGAUUAACUUGAUUGCAUUUGCUAGCCAUAGACCCUGUUUUAAUCUGCUUUGAAAAUAAAUCAAGAAGUCAGGCCUCCUUCUGUAACUGGGCCAUGUGACAACCAACCCUCCAACGUAAAGAUAAAUAUCUGUUACUAAUGGGAGAUUUCAAGUGCAUAAACAUGGAGAAGGAUAAACUGAGAUUUGUAAUGAGAUGAAACACAUCCUGUAAUCAUUUUUAUUAAGCAGCAGGGAGCUAAUUUACAUGAUGAGGAGAUUGAUUAGCACAUGGGGUAAUAAGGCUUCUUUUAUCAGUAUGUAAAACAUGUUCAUUCAGUUUAACACCAUCAUGAGUAACAGCCUUUUUUUGCUCUUUGAUUUUAGGUUAAUGUCACAUUUAUAACGUGAUCUGUUUGGCAGUGACAGGCUGCUGCAUGAAACAAACCGAUGCAUUUUAAUUUCAAAGAAACUGCUGAUCACUUGACUGAACCUGUUACACUGGAUAAUCUUGCAGCGUGUGGAUAGGAGGUCCCAGAGGUGCGACUCUCUGCUCAGAUUGAUUUUCAGCAGCAGAAAGACACCUCAGGUGAAGCGCAGCGGUCAGGUGAGUUUUAUAGGUCUGUCAGAUACUGUUAGUUUACACUCAGAUCACAGGUCCAGAAGGAAUCUGUUCCAUUAUGGUCCACUUUUAAUGCUGCAGGAAACAAAGACCGUCUGUAUUCACUGUAUGCAAAGUAAAGAACAAAAGCAAGAGUCCAUCCUGCAGAAAGAUUCCCCAUGAGCUGGACUGAAAGACAACCAGACUGUAGAUCACAGUAACAGACCAGGGAGGUGCAUAUACUCUUAUAUCACGUGUAGAGAAAAACACAACAGAGCCCCAAAUGAAUGAGCAAGAAUACACCCAGAGUAAAUAAGCACAUCAGGGGCCUCAUGUAUCAACGCUUGCGGCGCAAGAAAACCUUGCGUACGCCAAAAUCGGCGCACACGUCCAGAUUUAUCAUCGCGAAACGAGCGUCGGUUCCAGCGCUAAUCAACGCAAAGUCAGGAGGUGGUGUAGAAAUUGGCGUUGAGCCGAUACUUGCGUUGACUGUGAUUCGCACUUUGGCGACGCUGUGUGGUGGUGUUUGGUGACUCACUAUGUGACAAGCAUGCACCACAUCCCCGUGGCCGAGCAGCACGUUGCCCCACAUGACGAACCAGCAGCAGACAGAGGGAGGCGAGCUGAUCCCUGCCGGGCCGCCGUCCUCGCGCGGGAGAAUCUCAUCGCCACAGUGUGAAUGGGUAAGAAGUGAAUACACAGUUCAAUGAGCCAAAUUAAUUUAUUUUCUCCACCAGACGCUCGAGGACAUUUACGAGCCAGUCCAGCCGCUCGUUGAUCCCGCGAUCCCCCUGAUGAUUUCUUCCUGCGAUUGCAGGACCGCCUCCGUGAGGACCCUUCCACUGCGUCCGGGUGGUCCAGCGGAAGCGCCGCGGCUGGUGGACGCUCCACCGCUAAGCGUUUUCGUUUUGCACUGAAGCCACUGGACAGGCUGCCAAACAAAACACGCUGUCGCUCCUCCACCUCCGCCACCAGCACCUCCACCUCGCACGCCGUAAAUUUAGUUUUCUUGUCAUUUUGUCUGCGUGCGAGGACAGGGAGACCCUAUUUAAAUAAAUCUGCAUAUUUAUAGGAGGGCGUAACGGGGACGGGCCCAGUCACUCUGACAUCUGUGCUCAAUUCCACGCUGAUUGGGAUUUAUCAAGGGAACACACGUGGAUUUCGGCGCCCGCACACAUUAAUACAUACGGAUUUUUUUCAGCGUGACGGACCUUGUGUGCGCUCGUUUCUGGUAUGAGUUCCACGCAAGUGUUGAUACAUGAGGCCCCUGGUGAUUGGUUGUUUCCCGUUAGCCAUGAGCCCCGUUGUUUAGUUGGCUGUCUGGUUAGUUGUUUGAUGCAUCAGUUGAUAAUGAGUAUAGUUGCUGAAUUGGUUAGUAGUGGGCUUGUUGGUUGAUUAGUUAGUUAGCUAAAUGGGAUUUGAGAUUUAUUUGUUUAUUUUUCUUUAAAUGGGAUAAUAUGCAUUAUGCGCUUGGUUGAUCGGCUAUAUGUGUGCUUGUUUGGUUGGUCAGUUGGUUGGCUGAUCAGUUAGUCAUUUGGCUUUUAGUUUAAUUUUGGUUGGUUAGUUGGUUAACUUCAUGGUUGUUGCAUUGGUUAGUGGUUAGUGGUUUGGUUGCUGGUUGAUUGGUUGGCUGGUCAGUUGGUUUUUAAGCUUGUUGGCUCAUAGUUGACCGGUUGGCUGGUCGGUCGUUUGGUUGUUCAGUUAGUUGAUUGGUAGAUCUGUUACUUAGUAGUAGGAAACUGUAUAUUUUAGUUUUAUUAUGGAGGUCUACGCUGCCACCACCUUUGUUUAUCCGGUCUGGUCCAGUGUCAGAGGCAAGAGAAAUCUACACCGAGACUUCAUUAAAAGGUAUAACAAUACAGACUUUAUUGAGAUCACAAAUUCAUUAAGAAUAUGGCCAAGAGACUCUGUAUCUGUCUCCACUGAGCAUCAGUGUUCCUGCAAUAGGGCCAGCCCAUGCCCAAACACUGCAAAAGAAAAAAACCCACACGGGACACACCACACGCUAAGCAAAUGAUGCCCAGCACAAUAAUAAAAGUUUGUGAACUACAUGCAUCUCAUACACUAAAGACCACUACGCACCAUGCAGAAAUCAACGCGUAGGUGGGGAGAUUUAACACACAUGUACAGCGAGGCAUGCAGACACCUCUGUGGAUCCAGCACAGGGACUUACAAACCAGCCACUCUGUACCUACAGGAGACGACAGGCCUCUCCUCCUAACACAGGAACUGUUCUCCUUUCCAACUAUCGUCACUGUCAAUAACUAAAAAGUCAUGGACAGCACACUCUGUCAUUAUUUACAUCUCUGUCCCCUGGCCAUGGCCACAGACAACAGCAGUCCAGUGUUUCUCUCAUGUGCCUGCCCACCCAGUCUCCCUUUUAACAGCUACGCUGUGUUUCUCCCAUUCUCACACAGGUGAGUGUCAUCAGGUCAUUAGUUUAAAAUAAUAACAGGUCCUCUCUCUCUAUCUCAGUGUUCACAAUGAGACAGUGGCUCCAAACAGCCUCACCACAGUAUGCCAGUUAGUUUUUUGGCUAUUUGGCUGGUCAGUUAUCUGGUUAGUUAUCUGGUCAUUCGGUCAGUUUGUUGAUAGUUUGGUAAGGUUAGUUGAUUUUUUUUUAUGGUUUGUAGUCCAGUUGGUUGCUGUAUCAUUGGUUGGCUAAAUGAUUGGUUAAUUCGUCAUUGUUUGAGUGGGUGGCUGGUUGGGUGGUUGGCUGACUGGUUGUUGGUUGGGUGGUCAGUUGGCUAAGUGGAUGGCCACCAGAUCAAUUUGUGAGCACCAAGGUAGGUUGAUUGAUUUGAUAUCUGUUGGUAGCCCAGUUGGUUGGUUAGUUUUGAUUGGUUAGCUAUGUAAUUGAUUGAUUUGUCAGUUGGUUGGGUGAUUGGUAAGUUCAUUGGCUCUAAAGAUGGUAGGUUUGUUGUUUGGUUGGUGAGUUCUUUGAGAUUCCUUUUUUUCUGGAGUAGGGAACAUACUAACAAAAAGAAAUCCUAACCAGCACAAACUCAUGGACCUGCAGUGUCAUGUUCUUCAUUUGUGGUGUACAAACCGCCCUUUAACCCUAAAAAUGCUAUUUACAAUGUUUUUAAAACAUGUACCUUGGUUUAAAUGCACCUUUCCUCAUAACCCAGAAUUCCUGGUGCCACAUACUGUCAGUUCAUGUCCACUCAUAUGUAAAAUAUGACCUUUGAAAUCGAAGCACAAACACUGGCUUGGUAGAGAAAUGGUGAAGCUCAUAAAAGUAUUAAUUCUUGUAAUUUAACAUUGUUAUGAAAAAUAGCAGUGAUCCUGUUUUUCUCUUUUAGCUUUUACAUUUUGCUCAGGCUUUUUAAGCUUGCUUUUCUACCAAGUUUUGCAUAAUUAGUUUCAACACCUCUGACUGACUGUCUUCUCUCCCAAAGAUCCUGGCACGCAUGCGUUAUCAAUAAGGAGAUAUCAUUCCCUAUAAUAACUUAUUACUAAAGCUAUGAUAGAGAAGUCCCCCCUUAUCUUUCAGCUUUGAUUUCCUUACAUGCAGAUAACCAUCAAGCAUGCUCCCAGCUGUCUCUGCAGAUUCACACAGAGCGAUUAAGAUCAGCUUUGUGCUUUAUGUCCCACAUCUGCUCAAAGAAAAAAAAAAAAACCUGAACACAUCAACACCGCAGAGACUAUUUCAAGUUAGAGUCACUCAUCUUAUCCCACCUUUUGUGAUGUGUGCUUCUGCUUUAUUGUUGUUUGUUCCUCAGAAGUACCUGACAUAAGGGUCCUCUUGUGUGUUGGGAUAGGAUUUAGGUACACAUGGAAUACUGAUGGUGGAGACCAUGAUUAGAUUGUUAUGUGUCACUAUAAAUGCUCUUGAUGCCUGCAAGCAAUUUGCACAAGUCUGAAUGUUACCUCCGGGCUUUAGCCCCAUAUAACUGGAUUAACGCUGUCUGUUUAUGGUUCAGCCCUGUGAAAGGUUGUGUGUCUGCAGGAACAUUCAAAUGUGAGACAUGCGUCUGAUAUCAAGAACAUAGGGAGCCAUCAGCUCCCUCUUUCUCCUCACCCAUCCUUCCUCCCCCUUAUGUCUCAGUGAAGGUGGAUGAUUAGGUUUCCCUUUGGAUGGGAGUUUGUCCAUCUCCUUAGUGGAGUGUGGGCACUGUCACCAUGGCAACUGCUAGGCUUAGUGAUUGGGUAAGCCCCUGCCACCAUACACACCCGGGGGUUUGUGGAAUCCCUUUGUUGCUUCUUUGCAACAUCUAGCAUCUGAACCUCGCUUAGCACCACCACCGCAACAUGAGUCUCUUCAUCAAACUGAAAUAUCAUCCAAACCUUUUUUUGUUGUUGUUAUAGACAGAGUGAGGUGCAUGUGAGCAGAAUCACUGAUGAUAUCGCUUCAGGCAGGUUCACCUCAGAGUCUUUUCCCAAACAAACCUAGGUCUGUUUCACAUGUUCACCCUCAUCCCUAAAAAAGAUUACUCAGAACCAACAGGGCAGCUGUAAGGGGUGGGGUGAAUAUUAUUUUAAGAGAGGAUGCUUGUUUUUUUUCCAGACAUGAUGCCCUUAUACCUGAAAAAAAAAUCAAAAUUUGAUUUUGUUCUAAACACAUAGUUAAUCUUUAAGUUGCUGGAUUGUAAACAAAAUCUGCUGGGGGGUGGGGGCACAUACACUGUCAAUUUCAUACUCACUUUUAAACCGGGAUGAUGACAGUUGUCCAGCUGGAUCAUCUCACUGAGGAGUGACUGUAGCUCAAUUUAACUGUUCAUGUAAAUAUGCUGGAUGAAUUUGCUGCAGGUUUGCUGAUCAUGCAUAUUGCUUCAUUUUUUAAGCUCAUUUUCCAUUUGCAUCAUGUGUCAGGGGGCAAGGUUGAGUUGGUGGUAUUUAGCCUGCAUCAACGACAAAGGUCCCAGUUAAUGGGAUGCCCUGCCAUGUGUUGGCCCUUCUUUUCUUAUGGCGUUGGCUUUAAGUUGCACUCAGGGUUUUGUGGUUGCUGGUGGAAUUUAUUGACAUUGAUAUUGUGACAUUGUGUGAUAUUGAUAAUGUAAUAAAGGCCUACAAACUUUAAGUUCCUCACAGAAGCUUUCAAAUUAGAAAGGUCUUGAUAUAAAUUUUAAAAAUCCAUUCCCAUGAUGUCACUCACAUGACUGUGUAGGAGGUUAUUUUUCCGGUGUCUUAGGUGGGUGCUCCUGUGGACUGGCCUGUUUGGUGAUGGGUGGUGGUGCUUUAAUCUGAGGAGCCCAGCAAAUAUUCCCUCCCCCUGCGUCACUGCAGCCGUGAUUCAUCCUUACCUCUGCUAUGAGUCAUUACAGUGUGCAAGCUCUGACCUGACGCUCAGCACACUAGUAUGCUAUUCAUGGUCACUGCGGCUGUCUCGUCUGCUUCCAUGGAAACUGAGCUGCUGUUAUGAGGAGCGGAGAUUGAACGUGACAAGAAGUAAUCUAGCACAUUAGACAGAACACACCAGGUUCACAGCAGGACACAACCUGUGUUUUUAAGACGUGAUGAAGAUGAAGGUCCCAGCAAUAGACCCUUUCUAUAUAUUCAUGUUGGUGUGUGAAUGAGCAUCUCUGCCAACUCCCCAAGUGUGGAAACAUCUUUGUCAGUGAAGGAGGUGAUCUGGUGUGAAACAUUUGAGGUUUAGGAAAUAUUCCUGCUGCAACUACUAUCCAUGUGCUGUCAGAGCAGAACUCCAACAUCAUGAUGUGGCUGCCAUGAUGAUCUUGCUGGUGGAGCUCAUUGUCUCCUGGGUGGAGAGGUUGUCAGCAGCCCCUAAAUCUAGUUUCACUACACCAAAGCUACCACCCAUAAAGAUGUAGCAAGCUAAGCUACAGCAACAGGGCAGAAGAAGUUCAGCUUCAUCUACAUCUUUAAUGGUAGACAGGAUGAUUCAUCAUCAUUAUGAUAUGAUACAGUGAGAUAAGAUGCACUUAAUUGUCCUCCUGGGGAAAGUUGUCUCGGACUGAAAUGCUGCACAUGCUCAACCUCAUCCACAAUAAUACCAAUAAAGAAACUAAACGAAUAAAACAGUGUUAAAAAAACAUGCAACAACCCACAUUCAAAAGGGCUGUCACUUUUUAUUGAUGUGCAAACCUUCACACUCUGGAGGAAAAGCUCAUAUUCAGACUGUAAUGAGUUGUCCAAGCUCAGUAUACCAGCAGCUCCCUAAAGUAGGUGGCCAUGAGAUCCAGUAGAGGGUGCCCUCAUUGAAACCUGACCAAUCUCUGGUCUCAUGAUCUCAGGAAACUAAAGCAGGAAAGGAAUUUUACAAAAGUGGAGGACAAGCCGCACUGAGUGAGAUUCACAACACCAAAACACAUUGGCCCUUAUUUAUCAAUCUUGCGCAGAUCUGAGCGCAGAUCUGAGUGCAGGAUUCAUAGUACGAUAGGACACACGUGAGAUUUUUGCAAGGGUUCGUAUCUGACCAAUCCCAGUGUACGUAUGAUCAGGUCUUGAUAAAUGCAGCGGCUGAAAUCGAUCGUCAUUAACAUGUCACACCCUUAAAUAUUCGGGGUUCAGAAGCCCCGCCCACUCAGGUCAAACAUGAAAGAGGAGAAAUAUUAGAAAGAUUUGAAACUUUUCCGAGAUGAAAGUGGAUAUCCUCACGUCUGUGGUGGAAACUAACAAGGAUUUUAUCUUUGAAAGCAUCAAAACUGGUAUAAAAGCAGUCCAGAAAACUCCUGUCUAGAGCAGGACUAUGGAGGCGGUGAACAGCGCUGCCGUGGAAUAGCGGACAGUGGCUGAAGUUUGAAUAAAUCAUUAGUCAAUAAGUUGCUCAUGAUGAUAAAUUAAUAUCUCAUACAUGCCUCAUAUGUUUUAUUGGUAUGACAGGGUACAUUGCUCUUUUUAUUGAAAGUAUUUAGUUUGUUGCGUCUUUGUAAUGUAGAGCAGACUGGAGAGUCUGACAGAGGCUGAACAAAAAUAAUUAUUAACCUCACCAAACGGUGUGUUGCUGCCCCUGAGGCACAUUUUUAUGGAUUUCUAUUGGAUUUUUAUCACUGAUUAAAUAGCAAGAGCACUUUCUAAACUUAUACUUUACAUGUCAGAAUCCAUCAAUAAGGUCCUGUCUCCUCUGUACAGCACCUUUGUGGAGUCUCUCCUCGUUAUUGUUCUCCGGGCAUCGGGUCCUCACUUUGCACCGGCACAGCCAACGGCACUCCAUUCUCCAGUGCAACAUCGUGCAAAAUUGUACUGGCCGAAAUGAUGUCCCACACCCUUUCAGGAGUGUACAACAACAUCCCCACUGCUGGGCCAAGACAGAGACACCUGCCUUUUAGGAGUCAAAUG